Molecule: ribosomal RNA, 1372 nt
Filed under: uncultured bacterium
Lineage: Bacteria
Description: bacterial SSU rRNA
Rfam family: Bacterial small subunit ribosomal RNA
Source: RNAcentral
GAUGAACGCUGGCGGCGUGCCUAAUACAUGCAAGUCGAGCGAACGGACGAGAAGCUUGCUUCUCUGAUGUUAGCGGCGGACGGGUGAGUAACACGUGGAUAACCUACCUAUAAGACUGGGAUAACUUCGGGAAACCGGAGCUAAUACCGGAUAAUAUUUUGAACCGCAUGGUUCAAAAGUGAAAGACGGUCUUGCUGUCACUUAUAGAUGGAUCCGCGCUGCAUUAGCUAGUUGGUAAGGUAACGGCUUACCAAGGCAACGAUGCAUAGCCGACCUGAGAGGGUGAUCGGCCACACUGGAACUGAGACACGGUCCAGACUCCUACGGGAGGCAGCAGUAGGGAAUCUUCCGCAAUGGGCGAAAGCCUGACGGAGCAACGCCGCGUGAGUGAUGAAGGUCUUCGGAUCGUAAAACUCUGUUAUUAGGGAAGAACAUAUGUGUAAGUAACUGUGCACAUCUUGACGGUACCUAAUCAGAAAGCCACGGCUAACUACGUGCCAGCAGCCGCGGUAAUACGUAGGUGGCAAGCGUUAUCCGGAAUUAUUGGGCGUAAAGCGCGCGUAGGCGGUUUUUUAAGUCUGAUGUGAAAGCCCACGGCUCAACCGUGGAGGGUCAUUGGAAACUGGAAAACUUGAGUGCAGAAGAGGAAAGUGGAAUUCCAUGUGUAGCGGUGAAAUGCGCAGAGAUAUGGAGGAACACCAGUGGCGAAGGCGACUUUCUGGUCUGUAACUGACGCUGAUGUGCGAAAGCGUGGGGAUCAAACAGGAUUAGAUACCCUGGUAGUCCACGCCGUAAACGAUGAGUGCUAAGUGUUAGGGGGUUUCCGCCCCUUAGUGCUGCAGCUAACGCAUUAAGCACUCCGCCUGGGGAGUACGACCGCAAGGUUGAAACUCAAAGGAAUUGACGGGGACCCGCACAAGCGGUGGAGCAUGUGGUUUAAUUCGAAGCAACGCGAAGAACCUUACCAAAUCUUGACAUCCUUUGACAACUCUAGAGAUAGAGCCUUCCCCUUCGGGGGACAAAGUGACAGGUGGUGCGUGGUUGUCGUCAGCUCGUGUCGUGAGAUGUUGGGUUAAGUCCCGCAACGAGCGCAACCCUUAAGCUUAGUUGCCAUCAUUAAGUUGGGCACUCUAAGUUGACUGCCGGUGACAAACCGGAGGAAGGUGGGGAUGACGUCAAAUCAUCAUGCCCCUUAUGAUUUGGGCUACACACGUGCUACAAUGGACAAUACAAAGGGCAGCGAAACCGCGAGGUCAAGCAAAUCCCAUAAAGUUGUUCUCAGUUCGGAUUGUAGUCUGCAACUCGACUACAUGAAGCUGGAAUCGCUAGUAAUCGUAGAUCAGCAUGCUACGGUGAAUACGUUCCCGGGUCU